Molecule: ribosomal RNA, 693 nt
Filed under: uncultured bacterium
Lineage: Bacteria
Description: bacterial SSU rRNA
Rfam family: Bacterial small subunit ribosomal RNA
Source: RNAcentral
GCGUGAGGAACCUGCCUUUCAGUGGGGGACAACAGUUGGAAACGACUGCUAAUACCGCAUAACGUAUUUGUGUCGCAUGGCAUGGAUACCAAAGAUUUAUCGCUCUGAGAUGGACUCGCGUCUGAUUAGCUAGUUGGCGGGGUAACGGCCCACCAAGGCGACGAUCAGUAGCCGGACUGAGAGGUUGGCCGGCCACAUUGGGACUGAGACACGGCCCAGACUCCUACGGGAGGCAGCAGUGGGGAAUAUUGGGCAAUGGGCGCAAGCCUGACCCAGCAACGCCGCGUGAAGGAAGAAGGCUUUCGGGUUGUAAACUUCUUUUCUCAGGGACGAAGAAAGUGACGGUACCUGAGGAAUAAGCCACGGCUAACUACGUGCCAGCAGCCGCGGUAAUACGUAGGUGGCAAGCGUUAUCCGGAUUUACUGGGUGUAAAGGGCGUGUAGGCGGGAAAGCAAGUCAGAUGUGAAAACCACGGGCUCAACCUGUGGCCUGCAUUUGAAACUGUUUUUCUUGAGUACUGGAGAGGCAGACGGAAUUCCUAGUGUAGCGGUGAAAUGCGUAGAUAUACGGAGGAACACCAGUGGCGAAGGCGGAUUGCUGGACAGUAACUGACGCUGAGGUGCGAAAGCGUGGGUAGCAAACAGGAUUAGAUACCCUGGUAGUCCACGCUGUAAACGAUGGAUGCUAGGUGU